RNAcentral lists this ribosomal RNA (253 nucleotides) under uncultured bacterium. RNAcentral's name for it is "partial 16S ribosomal RNA". It matches the Rfam family "Bacterial small subunit ribosomal RNA", at positions 524 to 776 of the family's 1533-position model. The record is from RNAcentral.
UACGAAGGGUGCAAGCGUUAAUCGGAAUUACUGGGCGUAAAGCGUGCGUAGGUGGUUUUUUAAGUCUGCUGUGAAAGCCCUGGGCUCAACCUGGGAAUGGCGGUGGAUACUGAAAAGCUAGAGUGCGGUAGAGGAGGGUGGAAUUCCCGGUGUAGCGGUGAAAUGCGUAGAGAUCGGGAGGAACGUCAGUGGCGAAGGCGGCCCUCUGGACCAGCACUGACGCUGAGGCACGAAAGCGUGGGGAGCAAACAGG